UAAGGGAUAUUGGGUCAAUGGGGGCGGGAGCCUGAACCAGCCAUGCCGCGUGAGGGAAUGAGGCCCUACGGGUCGUAAACCUCUUUUGCCGGGGGAUAACGGGCGCCACGGGUGGCGCCGUGAAGGUACCCGGAGAAUAAGCAUCGGCUAACUCCGUGCCAGCAGCCGCGGUAAUACGGAGGAUGCGAGCGUUAUCCGGAUUUAUUGGGUUUAAAGGGUGCGCAGGCGGGCGUCUAAGUCAGCGGUGAAAGUUCCCGGCUCAACCGGGUCAGUGCCGAUGAUACUGGGGGCCUUGAAUGCGGUCGAGGUAAGUGGAAUUCCUAGUGUAGCGGUGGAAUGCGUAGAUAUUAGGAGGAACAUCAGUGGCGAAGGCGACUUACUGGACUGUAACUGACGCUGAGGCACGAAAGCGUGGGUAGCAAACAGGAUUAGAUACCCUGGUAGU
RNAcentral lists this ribosomal RNA (445 nucleotides) under uncultured bacterium. RNAcentral's name for it is "bacterial SSU rRNA". It matches the Rfam family "Bacterial small subunit ribosomal RNA", at positions 355 to 794 of the family's 1533-position model. The record is from RNAcentral.